Molecule: long non-coding RNA, 1215 nt
Filed under: Capsicum annuum
Lineage: Eukaryota; Viridiplantae; Streptophyta; Magnoliopsida; Solanales; Solanaceae
Description: long non-coding RNA (CANN_LNC022187)
Source: RNAcentral
GCUCAUCCGCUUGCGAAAACCAUGUGUUCGAGCCAACGACUUCCUUGAUCUAUUCCUCUUAGUCUGACAAAGAGCAUACUUCUUUGCCAUCACCACCAGGCCACGCCUUUUGGUGGUGCUCACUCCAAUGUUGGAAUUGAAGCCAAAGCCCAAGCCAAGUGAUGAACCUAAGCCAGAAGUUAACUAUUAGCUGGCUACUACUCAUCAUGCCAAUUUAAAUACGAAAGUUAUCAUAGCCUCCAUGUAUUUACAAACUUUCUCCGUUCAAUUGUAUUAUCAUCCAGCUUUAACCAAUGGAUUUUGAUCAUAAAACCAGAAAUACAAUUCAACUUUUUCAAUAGUACACCAAUGAUGUCAGACCUAAAAUAUCCACAAUAGAUAUUACAAACAUGAAUAAUAUGGAAUACUAAACAUCAGAAACAAGAAUGGCAAUAUACCUUUUUUACCUUCAAAUCCAUUAGUGGAUAGAAUACAACACAACAGGACUCAAGAUAAGACUAUAAGUCGUUUGGUGUGAGGUAUAAAGGGAUAAAUAGUUCCGGAAUAAAAUGAAGGACUACUUUAUCCCAUGUUUGGUGUGAGAUAUUAGUUAGUACCGGGAUUAUUUAUCCCACCAUUUACAUCAUAGUGACGAGAUAAGUUAUCCCCACAUAUAUAUGGUGGGAUAACUCUUUCUCAACCAAGUUGUCUGGUGUGAGCUAUAAGGUAAUAAUCCCGGAUAAAACGUAAGACUAUUUGUCGUGCAUUUGGUUGGAGAUAUUAGGUAGUCGUGAGAUUAUUUAUCCCCCCGCUAUUUGUACCAUAGUGAUAAAUAAGUUAUCCCACCGUGUAUAUGAGAUAACUUGUUCCCAACCAAACCCCCUAAAGGGAAUUAUUAUCUGUUUACAGUAUGCCCAAAAGAACAUUUUAAAAUGCACAUAUUGAGAUUAUAUGGAUACGGAAUCAAGAAACAUCCCCUAAUUACGAAUUCAAAUGCAAGAGAAAUUUCCAAUUCACCCAACAAGUUAAUAUCACUUUCCAAAUUGCCACUUGAAAAAUCAAAAUGAAGAUAGAAGUGGUACUUACCAGAGAAGGAAGUUGAAGCAGAUAAGGUAGAGAGUGGAGAAGAAGGAAGGAAAGAACAGUGAAGCAAACCGGGGCAUGUUGAGGCCAUUUUCAAAGAUGUCAUUCUUGAGGAAGGAGCAGUAACAGUAAGUAAAGAACGCGAAGAAGCGG